CCUACGUGUGGCUGCAGUGGGGAAUAUUGCACAAUGGGGGACACCCUGAUGCCGCGACGCCGCGUGAGCGAUGAAGUAUUUCGGUAUGUAAAGCUCUAUCAGCAGGGAAGAAAAUGACGGUACCUGACUAAGAAGCCCCGGCUAACUACGUGCCAGCAGCCGCGGUAAUACGUAGGGGGCAAGCGUUAUCCGGAUUUACUGGGUGUAAAGGGAGCGUAGACGGCUGUGCAAGCCAGAUGUGAAAGCCCGGGGCUCAACCCCGGGACUGCAUUUGGAACUGUGUGGCUGGAGUGUCGGAGAGGCAGGCGGAAUUCCUAGUGUAGCGGUGAAAUGCGUAGAUAUUAGGAGGAACACCAGUGGCGAAGGCGGCCUGCUGGACGAUGACUGACGUUGAGGCUCGAAAGCGUGGGGAGCAAACAGGAUUAGAUACCCCAGUAGUC
RNAcentral lists this ribosomal RNA (440 nucleotides) under uncultured bacterium. Its description in RNAcentral is "partial 16S ribosomal RNA". It matches the Rfam family "Bacterial small subunit ribosomal RNA", at positions 338 to 795 of the family's 1533-position model. The record is from RNAcentral.